This 182-nucleotide long non-coding RNA is filed under the name Mustela putorius furo (domestic ferret). RNAcentral describes it as "lncRNA (ENSMPUG00000027946.1)". The record is from RNAcentral. Lineage: Eukaryota; Metazoa; Chordata; Mammalia; Carnivora; Mustelidae.
GGGGAGGAAGAAAAACUGUCAAAAUUCUAAGACCAUGGAGAAGAACAGUGACCCAAGCAAGAGUGCUGAGGAAAGCACCAGGCGUGCCCGGCCCUGCAGGGAGCAAUGCCACCGAAGGAGAGGAAAUGUUACGUUUCCAAAGGCAAGAGGUAGGUUUGUAACUGGGACAACAGACUGGAUGC